Molecule: RNA transcript, 1495 nt
Organism: Gambusia affinis (western mosquitofish)
Lineage: Eukaryota; Metazoa; Chordata; Actinopteri; Cyprinodontiformes; Poeciliidae
Gene name: zinc finger protein 239-like
Exons: 4
Source: RefSeq, a predicted model, not a curated record
GAACCAGGACCAGGAUCAGAACCAGGACCAGGAUCAGAACCAGGACAAGGACCAGGACCAGAACCAGGACCAGGAUCAGCUCUCCGACUCUCCUUUUAGGUGGAACAAGAUGAAGCUCUGUGGUGAUUGGACAGCUGGAGAACCCAGAAGGAACUGAUGCGACGCCAUGCAGGCUUCCUGUUGGACGAAGGAAUCCAACCCUGAAGGGAACACUCUGCUGCAGCAUUUAGAAAAGAGAGUCAGCAAAUAUCAGUUCAUUAAUUAUUCAAACUGAUUUAAAGUUUCUCUCAAAGGAAAUCCAGCAGAGCAUCACUCCUCCUGGCCAGCAGGGGGCGACAUAAGAGAGGAAAAACUCCCCCUUAAAACUCCCACUGAAACAGCUUCCAGUACCAACAGUCUGGUACCAGAAGGUUCUGGUAGGAACAUCUGAACCAAUCGGGUCUGAGAUGGAUCGGAUCAAUUGAGGUUUCAUAUUUUUGAGAAUGAGAUUAUAAUCUGGAUUAACAAGCCGAAUAAGAGAAGCUAAAACAGAAAUCUGAUCUGGGCUUUUAGUUUCCAUCAAAACAUUUUUUGCAUCAACUGCAUCAGAAGAGAUUCCUCAGCGAGGAGCCGAGUGACCUCUGACCUCUGCAUGUCAACAGUGAACAUCGAUAGACCCAAAGCUCAGCACUGAGCCUCGGCUCCGCCCACUUUGGCUCAGUUCAGCAGUGAUUGGCUGAGCCCUUCAAGACUGUUUACAUGCAGCACCGCCACCACGGCAACCACUGCUAGGGAUUACAUCGACAUGUGCCUGAGAAAGCACACACACACUCACCAACAAACACUCUUACACACACACGUACAGUUUUAAUCCAGUUUUCGCUGCAGAACUCAAGCAGUAAGAAUCUUGACUAAGCAGCAGUUCUGAGGUCCAACCCGGUUUCUGGAGACCAGAACCCAGCACGUCUACCAGGAAGUCCUUUCAAGGUAAAAGCUUCAAAAACUAAAAUAAAGUUUCUCAGAAGGUCAAAGUUCAAACCUGAGCUCCUUGAUGUCUCACGUCCUCCUGCGUCUGUCUCCGUCUGUCCUCUGGUCCGAGGCGCGCUCCGAGGCUCUUGUUAUUGUCUGUUUACCCCGUCGCCAUGACGCCAGCCUGUCCCACAUCAGGGGAGGGGCAGCGAGGCAGAGGAGGAAGAGGAGGAGGACGAAGCUGGGCAGCUCCCAUUCUACAGCUCUGUGGAGGCAGUGGGCGGCGCCUCCUCGUCAUGGACCCUCCCUCUACCAUUGGCCAGGAAACUGAAACAGAGAGGGGAGCAGGGUGACGGUGCAGUUCCUGCUGUGACCACCAGGGAGCAGAUUUGAUCUGUUUUUUCCACAUUUCUUGGACCCCUGCUCUGGGUUUGGACGUUACCUGGGGACCGGAUCGGAACCAGCACAGGUGCCCGCCUGUUCCUGCUGGACGUCCAGCUGGGGGUUGGUGUAACCCAGCGUCCCUGAGUAGUUCACAUCCUGCGGG